RNAcentral lists this ribosomal RNA (252 nucleotides) under uncultured bacterium. RNAcentral's name for it is "partial 16S ribosomal RNA". It matches the Rfam family "Bacterial small subunit ribosomal RNA", at positions 524 to 775 of the family's 1533-position model. The record is from RNAcentral.
UACGUAGGGUGCGAGCGUUGUCCGGAAUUAUUGGGCGUAAAGAGCUCGUAGGCGGCUUGUCGCGUCGGAUGUGAAAGCCCGGGGCUUAACCCCGGGUCUGCAUUCGAUACGGGCAGGCUAGAGUUCGGUAGGGGAGAUCGGAAUUCCCGGUGUAGCGGUGAAAUGCGCAGAGAUCGGGAGGAACACCCGUAGCGAAGGCGGCACUCUGGGCCGGUACUGACGCUGAGGAGCGAAAGCGUGGGGAGCGAACAG